AUUUUGCGUUAGGGAUAGCAGCGGCAUCCUUUUAAUUUUCUGGAGUUUGAAAAUGAACGCUGAAGCAUUUAAAUUAAAAGAUAUAGCGAAUAGCCCGACCUUUU
Molecule: small RNA, 104 nt
Filed under: Ulvibacter litoralis
Lineage: Bacteria; Pseudomonadati; Bacteroidota; Flavobacteriia; Flavobacteriales; Flavobacteriaceae
Description: Flavo-1 RNA
Rfam family: Flavo-1 RNA
Source: Rfam by way of RNAcentral